Molecule: long non-coding RNA, 826 nt
Organism: Polypterus senegalus (gray bichir)
Lineage: Eukaryota; Metazoa; Chordata; Cladistia; Polypteriformes; Polypteridae
Exons: 3
Source: RefSeq, a predicted model, not a curated record
GUCCACUGGGUGUUUUAACGCAAGUGCUGGACGGUUCCGAAAUUUUAUCAAUCUACCAAAACUGGCAGAAUCUGCAGACAGAGCAGGCCCUGCCACCCUCUGAGAGCAGCUUUCACCAUUCUCCAAUACCCUCUGAGUUCAGUUUUCGUUCGAAUCUCCUGCAUUCUCCUCCAUAAUCAACACCGCCCUCUAAUUACAGCCGACGUUCAGCCCACCUGCGGACCCCUUUGCUGUCAACGCCUCACUCCUAUGGGCCUCGCGGUAGAAAUCGUUAUUCAGCCCGAUAUUCCCUUCGUCAUUACAACGAUCAGCGACGCGGAGAAAGACUGGAGCGUGUGCAGGUGGCUGACGUUCUUCACUGGUUACUGGAUCGAAUUGUACAAUCAGAGCCUCCUGUGUACAAUUCCAGACCCAAAAUGGCAUGUCUGAAAACAGGUAUAGCGACAACACCAGCAGCGGCAGCGAUACCAAUAGUGAAAGCGAACGUGAAGAUCCUGGACGGGUUAAAGGCGCCGGACUUAUCCUUGUGGCGGAGAGAAGAAAAUGAUGUAAAAGCUGAAUGGCAUGUCUUUUUGAUGAUCGGGCCUGCGUGUGACCCAGGAAGUCUCUUACUCUUAGUUUUCUUCAUCACCAUCAGCCCCGAGCCCUCUUGAUUUUCUUCGCUUCCUCGAGUCAUAGCUCCGGACACGGCCCCAGCCACCACAUCUUUGACGAUAUUCUUAGCGGCCGAUUUAAUGUGUGGUUUGACAAUUUCAAAUCCUCCUUUCAAGAGAAGCAAACCUCUUCUAAACAGACCGCGAAAUAUACUACCGAUCCCAGAACCAUA